RNAcentral lists this ribosomal RNA (1033 nucleotides) under Laboulbenia vulgaris. Its description in RNAcentral is "partial large subunit ribosomal RNA". It matches the Rfam family "Eukaryotic large subunit ribosomal RNA", at positions 89 to 1111 of the family's 3401-position model. Lineage: Eukaryota; Fungi; Ascomycota; Laboulbeniomycetes; Laboulbeniales; Laboulbeniaceae. The record is from RNAcentral.
GCGAGUGAAGCGGCAACGGCUCAAAUUUGAAAUCCGGCGCAAGCCCGAGUUGUAAUUUGCAGAGGAUGCUUCGGCCCGCGGUCACGGCUCAAGUGCCCUGGAAGGGGACGCCGCGGAGGGUGAUAGCCCCGUCAUGGGCCGUCGACCCGCGGCCGUGUGAAGCUCCCUCGACGAGUCGAGUUGUUUGGGAAUGCAGCUCCAAAUCGGGAGGUAAAUUCCUUCCAAAGCUAAAUACCGGCCAAGGACCGAUAGCGCACAAGUAGAGUGAUCGAAAGAUGAAAAGCACUUUGGAAAGAGAGUCAAACAGUACGUGAAAUUGUUGAGAGGGAAGCGUUUGCGAUCAGACGCGUGGGGGGUCGGCUCACCCCGGCCCGCGUGGUCGGGGGCAUUCCCUCCCCCUGCGAGCCAGCAUCGGCUCGGGCGGCGGCAGGAACCGGGCGGGAACGUGACUCCCUCGCGGAGUGUUACAGCCCGCACGGCCUCCCACCGCCCGCCUGGGCCGAGGCAGGCGCGCCCCGUUCCGCGGGGCGCAAGGAUGCUGGCGUAAUGGUCGUAAGCGGCCCGUCUUGAAACACGGACCAAGGAGUCCAACGUCCGCGCGAGUGUGUGGGUGUCAAGCCCGCGCGCGAAAUGAAGGUGAACGAAGGUGGGAAGCCGUUCCCCCCCGGGGGGGCAGCCGCACCAUCGACCGAUCCUGAUGUCCUCGGAUGGAUUUGAGUGGGAGCGCGGCCGCUGGGACCCGAAAGAUGGUGAACUAUGCCUGCUUAGGCUGAAGUCAGGGGAAACCCUGAUGGAAGGUCGCAGCGGUUCUGACGUGCAAAUCGAUCGUCAAAAGUGGGUAUAGGGGCGAAAGACUAAUCGAACCAUCUAGUAGCUGGUUCACACCGAAGUUUCCCUCAGGAUAGCAGCGGCGAUAUCAGUUUUAUGAGGUAAAGCGAAUGAUUGGAGGCAUUGGGGUUGAAACAACCUUAACCUACUCUCAAACUCUGAAUGUGUAAGAGGCCCCCGUUACUUAAGUGAACCCGGGCAUCGA